CACAAUUCUCUCCCCGAGUCGAUUUCCUCCAUCUCCCGUGCGCCGCUCCCCCAGCUUCUCUCCCUCUCUCGUCCGCAAGCGCCGGCUAGGGUUCCGCCACCGCUCCCUUGCACGACGCCGCCCACAAUACGUAGCUCGGCCCCCUCCGCCCCUCAAGAUCUUUGAGCAUGGGUGCUCGAUCCGUCGACAACAAAGGCCAACGCGGGUCUGCUGGCGAAGGACAACGGUGAUUUGUCCCUCUCGCCCUCUUCGACAUGGCGUCCUACCUCCACUCGCUCGCCUCUAGCCGCAACCCCGUCGAUCUCUGGACGGCGUCGAUCUCCACCACAUCUGGCCGGUGGAAUUAGACCACGGAGGCCCCAAACCUCCCCACCCGGAGCUCUAGAUCAUCCCAUCCGCGAUCUUCCUCGUCCGACUCGCGUCCGACCUCCCCUACCCGUCGCCCUCUUCCAUGUGCUCCCCUCCUUCCCCCGCGCCGCCUCCUAGCGGCUCUGCUGCGCGGAGCGCCGGAAUACACUGCGUAGGCCUGGCCCUCCUCCGCCACCUUCUUGCUGCAGCACCUCCGUCUCUUGUUGGUGUAGCCUGCUGCUGCUGAAGCUGUCGCCCAGCGAUCUCUGCCUCCUCCUCCCGGGCGCCACCAAGGGAACCUCGUCAGGUCCAGAAAUAUGUUUAAGGUCAUAUUACUAAUGGUGUUUGUUCAUGGCAAUGGUAGAUAAUUAUUGACUAGAUGAUUCCCUGUGCGUUGUGGUGGGCGUCAAAAAGAAAACUCCAUAUGGUACCAAAAUGAUCCUGCAAUCAUCGCAAUGGCAAACUUGGUUGCAUCAUACUAGAAGAACGAAACCAUGGAGUUUGAAAAGAUCUUAAAAGGUCAAUGUUCUUGAACAGGCCUAUUCGUUGAUGCUGGUGAUGGUAUUUUCCAACCUCUACAAUGUGGAUCUAAUUAUAGGAGACACUGAAUGUGGGUCACACACUGUGCUUGGACAAAUCUGUUGUCCUAAUCAUCCUAUUUCUCAAUUGGAUUCAUCAUUACUUUAGAAUGCAGAACCCAGGUUGACACAAGCUUAUAAUGCAGCACCAUGUUUGACUCAACCUCACAGGUCUACAAUUCUCCAGCAAUGACCGGUAAAGGGGGAAAAUAAUACAGAGGUUCUUGACUUGUCUUUCAUAGUUUCACUCAAGCGUGAACAUAUAAUACAACUUAUUAAUAUGAAUAUAUGUACAGUUCUAAAUAUACAGUAUAUAUAGUACAUAUGCUCCUCUUUCCAUUUUAUCCUUCAUGAGAAAUAGGAUGAUUUUUGUUCAUCUUUGAACCUUACUAGAGAUCUGUCAAGAACUACAGAUUCAUACUCGUACUUCGUGAUUUCCUUUGCUAAUUCUGGGUGUGUAUUACAGGUUUACUCACUAUCCCCAUCUCACCUCUCUUUAUGUCUAUUGAUAAAUUAAUCUCGGUCUGUAGUAUGUAUUGUCUUGCUCAAACUAAGAUUCAUUUUCUACUUUGAGUGAAUUUGCCUUUCUCUUUUCUGCAUUUAGUUUAUAUCAGCACAGGAAACUGCUGGCCUAUUAUGUCGCUAUCUAUAUUUUGUAUUUUAUUUUAUGUUGUGAUAUGAGUACCAUAAUAGGACGGAGGUGCUCAGCAUGACAUGAUAUGUGGUACUCUUGUGUUUUAGAAAUUUCCAGGGAAGAGGCUCUAGGAGAGAGGGGGUUUGAAUUUUCUUUUCUGGUUUUGCAGCAUGGUGCGACAAAUUUUCUAUUCUGAUUUUGCAGCACGGCGCGAUGAAUCUUUUGCAAUUAUGGCUUAAUUCCUCCAUUCACCAUAUGCAAAUCUUAUUUUCACGUUGUUUGAUUUCUCAUGAGUGACCUGAGAUUACUGUGAUGAUACGUAAAGCCUAGAGUGUAGAGUGAGUCAUAAAUGUGUUGGAUGCACUAAUUUAGCUCAUUGCUUUGCUUCACUGUGUUGUGUAGAUGCAAAACUAUUUCAGUUUUUAAAAACUCAUUGGAUUUGCAGCUAAGUAGUUUAGAAUUUUGGAAUGUGAAAAUGGUCUUGCACAGGAAAUUCAGGCAAUGUAGAAAUACCAUGUCUUGUCUUAAUCUCUCUGCUUUCCUUUAUAGUAUACGUAUAGCUGAAUUGGACAACAUAGAUUGUGCUUGUACUGAACAUUCUCUAUUUUCAUGGGUUCUAUUAAUGAGGAUUUCCAUUUUUUGUUUAUUCGUGAUUUAUGAUUUUGACGUUUUCCAUCUCAACCAGCUCCCUUCAUUUCACAAAGAAUAUAUGUGGAGUUAAUUGUCAUAAAAGAUUAUAUUCUUUGAUCUGCAGCUCAAUAACGACUUGUAUAAUUGCAUCACAGUACAUGAUUUGUGUUGGAACAACCACAGUACAUGAUUUAUAUUUCAAAAUGAUGAUUACAUGUAUAGAGACACAUGGCACUUGAAUGACUCAUCAUAUUUUUUAGUGGAGAAGACAACAGAAAAUUCUUGGAUGUUUCCUUACGAUUUUUGUUUAGACCUGCAGGAUGUACCCUGUUCCCCAGGGUACAUUAUCCUCUGCUGGCUGUUUUGGUGAUUGCCAUUAUGUCACAUCUUAAAUUCGGAGCUUGUGUCUAUGUUAGUGGCAAGAUGUUCGAAUGGUUCCUGGUUGCACUUUUACAAAAAAUCCUCCAAUGGAUGAUAGUUGUGUUAAGAUACCGUGGAUAAGUUCUAUUCUAUUCUCUAGAUACCUUGUACAACUGUAUAAGGGAUGUUUAUGAAGCUAAGGUUUCUCUUGCAUUUACCACAUGUAGACAUGAGCAUCAGGAACGUUAUUUGUGUUAAAAAUUAAGAUUGCAUCAGUUGCUGCAUGAUGAUUCAUCUGCUAAUCGCCCAGGUGUAAUGUCAAUAUUGGUGCAAGCUGCAUCUCCGGUAAUCAUGAUUUGUUGAGGUAUUGAUACUGACUUAGUUUUCUUGCUCGUUUCUGCGAUGCCCACAAUAUAAAAUUAACAUUAGUUGAUUCCGAACCCAUGCUCAAAACAUAUAUAUUUCUUUGUAGGGAAUAUCUUGUGCACCCCAAGUUACUGUUUCUUUGUAGGGAACAGGCCACAAGGAAAAAUGUAAAUUGCUUAUUUUUGUGAAACAUAGCAGUGUAGAUCUAAUGUUGUACUGUUGGUAGUAUGAUUUCUUUCUCAACAUUGAUCUAUUUAGUUAAAGUUCUUCAUUUACCUUCUUUAGAUAUAACAUUGAAAAGAAAAGCUAAUUUUGUUGUGUUGUAGGUUUUUCAUCUACUUGGAUUGGGUCAAAUACAUGUAGUUACAGAUAUCAUGGAGGUAGAGUAUGUGGAUCGAGUGCUCCAGCUUGGAGCUAUUCGGUGAUGUCUGCUGCAGGUAUCUUUGCCAGAUAUAGUGUCCGAAAAGAAUUUGUGCCUCCAGGGUCAAGAAGCUCAGAGGUACCGAGAUGAGUGAAUUCCAGGCCACAUCUAACAAUCACACUUAUCAACCAACCUGACCUUUGUUUGUACUAUUGUCUCACACAGCUUUGUACUAUUGUCUCACACAGCUGUUGGCCGAGGGCCGGAUCGGCGAUUCAUUGUGAAUUAUUACUUCGAUUUUUCUGUAUCUUUUUAAUGCAGAUAUGCAACAUACAUGGUUCAAAAAAAGGGGACGAGUCGCACACCAUCAAGAAGAUGGACGGAGACGUUGUCAAGAACAUGGUUGCAUUACAUUCUGGAAUUAUAAUUUAAUAGAGAAGUGUCUUCUCUUCUGAUGUAUGCUUGUUUCGUUUAAACAAAAACGAUGCACACAUGCUCUGUCUUAUAGUGUAGCCACCUCACUGUUCUGUUAUCAAGCAUUUUCUUCCAUGACUACUAUGAUACAAUAUGUGCAUAAUGACCGAAGCUUAUCAGGCAUGUUGUUCUAUCC
Molecule: long non-coding RNA, 3887 nt
Organism: Lolium perenne
Lineage: Eukaryota; Viridiplantae; Streptophyta; Magnoliopsida; Poales; Poaceae
Source: RefSeq, a predicted model, not a curated record